Molecule: long non-coding RNA, 6779 nt
Organism: Nycticebus coucang (slow loris)
Lineage: Eukaryota; Metazoa; Chordata; Mammalia; Primates; Lorisidae
Exons: 3
Source: RefSeq, a predicted model, not a curated record
ACCCGCCACCUCCGGGGCCACAGGCGCCAACCCACACACCCAUUCUUAACUUUUAAGAAGCCUAGAUGAUAUUAACAUAGGAUUUAGAAUUAUUAAAACUACUUUUACCGACAGAAUCUGGGCGCUAAACCGCGAACAAUGUGAUCUGAUCGAUGCUCUGUCGUAAAACUGAAAGGAUUUGGAGCCAGAAGAUCGAAGGUCAAGUGUCACCCCUCCACUUUAUAGCUAAAUCCUUAUGCGUUCAUCUUUGUGAACCUCAAUUUAUCUGUAGAAUCAUGAAGAAUGACAAUAUCACUAAUGAGAAUAGUCACCAUUUAUUAUUAUGGCAAACAUUGUCUGAAAUACUUUAAAUAUUUUAAUCCGCACAGCAACCAAAUGGAUUAGCUUUAAAUAUUAGCAUUUUACAUGUAAAGAAACUGAGGAUCAAAGAAGUUAAGUAGUUUUUUGAUGGUCACAGAACUGGAAUUAAGUCUAGAAUCUACAGCUCAUCCCUUAACCACAAAAAAAUGCCACCUCCCUGUCUACCUCACACAGUUGUUGGCUCGUUUACGGUAUUUCUGAAAAUGCUUUAUAAUUAUAAAGCGCCGUUAGUAAUUAUUAUAUUUAGAGGAAGAAUUUUUUGAUAUGUAGCAAAUAGAAACAAGUAUUGUAUUUUGUUCUUUUCCAAUGUGAUACGUUACUCAGAACGGAUUCCGGUUUUACCAAGUAGAUAAGAUACUGACCAGCUGGGUUUGGAUUUGUUUUUCAGCAGAAGGUGUGAUAUAAUUAAAUAGAGAUGGAAUAGGAAGCACUAGCAUCUCCUGGCACUGGCACUGUGCUAGGGCUAAGAAAUUUAUUUUCUAAAGUCAUUUUCUGUUUAUAGUCCACCGGAAUGCAAGCUUUAUGGAGGCAGGAACAUAAUGUCCUCACUGCCUAUAAGACAGCAUAUAGGUAUCAGAAGUUCAGUCAUUUGAAUGAAUGAAUGCCUUUGAUACCACAGAUAAGACAAAAAAAAAGGAAAAGCACAUUUCUUUUUUCCAAUUAAGAUGUUUGAAGUAUCGGGAGGCUGAGGCAAGAGAAUCGCGUAAGCCCAAGAGUUAGAGGUUGCUGUGAGCUGUGUGACGCCACGGCACUCUACCCGAGGGUGGUACAGUGAGACUCUGUCUCUACAAAAAAAAAAAAAAAGAUGUUUGAAGUAAUAGGUUACUUAAGAAGCUUCAUAAAGUAGCAUACCUUAGAGUAUUGGGAAUCCAGAGUAAAUAAUAAUAUAAGUAAUAAUCCCAACACAAAAUAAAUAAUACCAGGAAAUAAACACAUAGAUUGUUAAACAUUACAUAUAUACAAUCAUACCAGUAAAAAAAAAAAAAAACUAAGUGAAUUUUAAUAAAACCAAAAUCUCUCCAAAAGGUAAUAAUGUAGGCAAUUACUAAUCAUUCCACAAAUGAAACAUUUUAUUUUUUGAUUCCUUCUUGAAAUAAUUGACAGUUUUAAAAGAGUAACUUUUAAUUUUAAAAAUAUUAUUUCCUCUCAGUGAAAUAUUUUAUAGGUAGAUUAAAAUCUCUGUUUCUGAAGCAAAAUAUUGCACUUCUCUGUUUGCACUCCGUUUCACUGUUUUAAAUUUUGAUCAGAUGAAAGCUCCAAGAGCCAACUAUAGAAAAAUUGAUCUCUGGGGCGGCGCCUGUGGCUCAGUCGGUAAGGCGCCGGCCCCAUAUACCGAGGGUGGUGGGUUCAAACCCGGCCCCGGCUGAACUGCAACCAAAAAAUAGCCGGGCGUUGUGGCGGGCGCCUGUAGUCCCAGCUACUCGGGAGGCUGAGGCAAGAGAAUCGCUUAAGCCCAGGAGUUGGAGGUUGCUGUGAGCUGUGUGAUGCCAUGGCACUCUACUGAGGGCCAUAAAGUGAGACUCUGUCUCUACAAAAAAAAAAAAAAGAAAAAUUGAUCUCUGCUUUUUAACUCACAGUAGCUAAGGCCUACAAUGCCAGCACUUUGGAAGGCUGAGGCAGGAGGAUCACUUCAGGCCAUGAGUUCAAGAUAAGCCUAGGCAACAUAGCAAGACCAUAAAAAAAGUUAGCUUGCCUCUAGUCCCAACUACUUGGGAAGCUGAGGUGGGAGGAUCCCUUGUGUCCAGGAGUUGGAGGUGAGAGUAAGGGUCUCCCUGUUGGCUGGACUAGAGUGCCAUGGCAUCAUUAUAGCUCCCUGCAACCUCAAACUCCAGGGGUUCAAGCAAUCUUCCUGCCUCAGCUUCUGCGUGAGACUAGCGCCACCACACCAGGCUAAUUUUUAUAAUUUUCGUUUGUUCACAUGAGGUCUUGCUAAUGCCCAAGCUGAUCUUGAACUACUGGCCUCAAGUGAUCCUCCUGCUUUGGCUUCCCAAAGUGCUGGGAUUACAGGUGUGAGCCAUAUUUUGAAAUAUUUAAAGGGAUAAUGGGUACCAAAAUGAUAGUUCACAGGAUCCUCUCCCUAUGUCAGCUAAGGACCCAUUUUCUAGUUAAUUCUUUUUUUUUUUUUUUGAGACAGUCUCAUUCAUUUGCUCUGCUGUUAAGUGCUGUGGCCUCAUAGCUCACAGCAACCUCAAACUCUUAAGCUCAAGAGAUUCUCUUGCUUCAGGUACCUGUCACAAUGCCAGGCUAUUUUUUUUUUUUUUUUUUUAGAGAUGGGCUCUUGCUCUUGCUCAGGCUGGUCUGGAGCUCCUGAUCUCAAGCAAUCCGCCCUCCUUGGCCUCCCAUAAUGCUGGGAUUACAGGUGUGAGCCACCAUCCCCAUCCUUAGUUAUACCUCUUUAACCAUAAAAAAAUGUAUCCCAAUCAAAACCAUGAUAAUUAGUUAUACUUGAGUAUGAAGCCUGUAUCUUGUUUUUAGCGAUAUUAAAAGUGGGAAUGGUAGAAGUAAAAACAAAAAUUUGAAUUAUAGUUGAUAUUUUAACGAAGUGUUUAAUAGUUAUGGCUUCAGACAAUAAGCCCUGAGGCAACAUGGUCAAGUAAGUGGUAGAAGUGAAGGGAAAGAGCUGGAUUGCAUCUUUGAACUGCACUUCUCCAGUACUUGGCUUACCAAGGCAUAACUUGGGUAAAUUGUUCAUCCCCAUCAAUUCCCUUUUCUCCAAGGAAAAAAGCUCUCUUAAUUGAUUAAGGUGGUAUCUGUUGUUACUCCCCUUUACAGUUGAAGGAGUUGAAACACUGACAGUACAAGCAAUUUUCUUAAGAUUAAUAAACAGAAUAGAGGAGAUUCAAAUUAAGAUUUUUUUGAUCCGUUUUCUGUUCUUUCCUCCACCCUAUUGAAUUAUUGUGUUUAUCUGUGAAAUUGGGCAGCAGGACUAGAUCAGUGAUUUCAGCUCUAGCUACAUAUUAGAAUCACCUAGGGAUCUUUAAAACCACAGAGACGUUUGGGCCACACCCCAAAAUAAUUAAGCCCAGGUAACUGGGGUGAAGGACCUACUCAGCUGGUAUCUUUCUAAAGGCCUGCAAAGGAUCUUCACCUGCAGCUAAGACUGAGCACCACUGAAGUAACUGCCAAGUUCCUUUCACAUUCAAAAUUCUCUGACGUCUAAAAUCUACCUGUUUUGUUAUCUCUCGUCCCCACCAUGUAUGCUUUCAUGUAUAUAUUUUUGCAUAAUACGAGGCAACGAUGCUUUAACCACUAGUAUAAUAUACCACGAUAAUUAGGCAUGUCGGAUAAGAGCAUAAAUAUUCGUGAGAUGAUUGCAAAAAGGUAUUUUGAAAAUGUGCCAUGCGGUGCAUCUUACAAGGGUAUAUGUGAAUCUUAGUAAAUGUGGAAUGUAAAGGUCUUAGCAAAAUAACUAAGAAAAUGCCAGGAAAGUUAUGUUAACUAGUGUGAUGAAAAUGUGUCAAAUGGUCUAUGAACCAAGUGUAUGGUGCCCCAUGAUCAUACUAAUGUACAUGGCUAUGAUUUAAUAAAAAAAAACUAAAAAAAAACUAUAGUUGGAUAGCAAUAGCCUGAAGCUAAAAAAAAGAAAAGAAAAGAAAAUGUGCUAUAAUUAUAGCUAAAAUAAUUAUUUAUUUAUUUAUUUUUAUUUUUAUUUUUUUUUGAGAUAGAGCCUCAAGCUGUCACCCUGGGUAGAGUGCCAUGGUGUCACAGCUCACAGUAACCUUCAACUUCUGGAGCGAUUCUCUUGCCUCAGCCUCCUGAGUAGCUGUGACUGCAGGUGUCAGAUACAACUCCCAGCUAAUUUUUUUAUUUUUGGUAAAGAGAAAGUCUCUUGCUCAGGCUGCUCUGGAACUACUAAGCUCAAGUGAUACUAAAUGGUAGCAUUAUAGGCUAAGACACCUCACCCGGCCCAAGAUUAUUAAAUUAUCAAUAGGACCACUAUUAACUAGUCAGUACCAUGAUAAGAAAAGAAAGAAUUGUUGGCAACCAUGGGAUGACCAAGCUCAUAAAUUCUACACUAAUACUUGUCUGUGGAUACUUCUCUGUUUUGGUUACACAGUGUUCAAACACCCUUCCUAUGUGGGCUUAAUCUCAAAUUAGGCAGAAGGAAAGAUGAAUGGUAGUUAGUCUGGGUGCAUGACUCACACCUGUAAUCCUAGCACCUUGGGAGUCCAGUCUGAGCAAGAGCGAGACCCCAUCUUUAAAAAAAAAAAAAAUAGCCAGGUGUUGUGGUGGGCACCUAUAGUCUUAGCCACUCAGGAGGCUGAGGCAAAAGAAUCACUUGAGCCCAAGAGUUUGAGGUUGCUGUGAACUAUGAUGCAACAGCACUCUACUGAGAGUGUGACUCUGUCUCAAAAAAAAAGAAAGUGGUAGCUAGGAUUUGGUUAAAGGAACUGGACUCAACCAGAUACCUUGAAUUUUGGGAGAGCCAAAAUCCCAGAGUUGCUGGGGCAAGAGCCCAGAGUGGCUGAGCCCAGAAGCAUGAUAGCAGAUAUCCAGUGACAAUAGUGCCAAUGGCAACAAGCAUCACAGUGAAAGCACCAGGGUGUUUCCAAAGACAACGGCAGCUGUGGCAUAGGCCACAGGCUUUGACUAAUUACAAACUUUGUUUUGUUUUGAGACAGAGUCUCAAGCUGUUGCCCUGGGUAUAGAGUGAUGUGCUGUCACAGCUCACAGCAACCUCAAACUGUUGGGCGUAAUUGAUUAUCUUGCAUCAGCCUCCCAAGUAGCUGGGACUACAGGCACCAGCCCCAGGCCACAUUUUAACCCGCCACCCUUGGUGUAUGUAGCAGUCACCCUAACCACUGUGCUAUGGCUGCUGCCCUAAUUAAGAACUUUGAAUGGCACACAAUUUAAAGAAUGGAAAAUAAAAUCUUUUACAAACAUUGUAUAAAUUGGACAUUUGAUUUUGUUAACUUUCUCAUUAGGCAGUCUUUUGAAAAUGAUGUCAGACAAUAGAAUUCUAGAAUUAUCAUUUCCAAUCUGUUAAAAUUAUGUUGUGGCAGUUAGUGAAUAUGUUGUUUUUAUAUCAGCUGUUUAAAUCCUGAACAUAGUUGGAGAAGCAUUAUUUCAUAAGCUGGAUAUAACAUUACCUAUUAAGAAGAUGCAUAGAGUAUUUUUUUGUUUUUUUUAAGAGAUACGAGUACCCACCGUGUUGUCCAGGCUGGCCUCAAAUGUCUGGGCUUCAGCAAUCCUGCAACCCCAGCCUCUCAAGUAACUGGGACUCCAGGCACACCGCAACACCUGACUCAACAGAGUAUUUUAAAGGUGAAUCAAGAUUAUUACUUCACCCUAAACUGACAAAAGAAUUUACGAUAUUGAUGUGUUGAGUUUUCUUUAAGAAAAAAGAGGCUGGGCGGCGCCUGUAGCUCAAGGAGUAGGGCACCGGUCCCAUAUGCCGCAGGUGGCGGGUUCAAACCAGCCCCGGCCAAAGACCACACACACAAAAAAAAAAAGAAAAAGAAAAAAGAGGCUAAAUCAUUCAGACUUCUGAUUUACUGAAUACUCCAAACUUUGUGAUUAAUAAAAUAAUGCAUGUAGUGUUUGCAGUAACAAUUGGGCCCUCUGCUAUUAGUUGCACAGUUGUGAUGUUAUUAUGCAUUAACAUAUUGGGUGGUGCCUGUGGCUCAGUGGGUAGGGCGCCAGCCCCAUAUACCGAGGGUGGUGGGUUCUCGCACCCAGCCCUGGCUGAACUGCAACAAAAAAAUAGCCAGGUGUUGUGGUGGGCACCUGUAGUCCCAGCUACUCCGGAGGCUGAGACAAAAGAAUCACCUAAGCCCAGGUGUUGGAGAUUGCUGUGAGCUGUGUACACCAAGGCACUCUACUGAAGGCAAUAAAGUGAGACUGUCUCUACAAAAACAAAACAAACAAAAUAUAUUGUAUACCUGUAUCUGAAUACAGAUGAUGUGGAAGAAACUAGGGACAUCAAAAAUCUUAGGACUAAAAUCCUUAUCCUAGCUUUAUACUGAUUCCAGCUUAAAAUUUCCUAAUUUAUAGGCUUUGUUUUUUGUUUCUGUUUUUGCUUGUUUUCCCCCAUAAAUAUAUGAAAAUAAUGGCAUAUAAGUAAAACGCUGACUUCUAAUUGGUGAAUAGGUCACAGUGGUACUGAACAGAUGUACGAAUGUAAGGCAUUGUGCAGUAUUAGCUCUCCAUAUUCCUUUAUGCUUCUAGCAUAGCAUGCAUUUUCAUUCUGUCUGCCUUGCUUCCUAAUGUGUUGGUUGGACGUUCAGCUUUUCAAGGGAAUCCUUGUAAUUGCCAGCUUGAUGGAGAAAGCAAGAUGGAAGAACUUUCCAUAUUGUAAGUUGGUAAGUCAGUAGAUUUAUAACUGUUUAUAAAUUAGAAACUAUACGUAAAUAACAUAAAAUAAUUUUAAGUGCCACACAGUGCUGCUUCAAAGAACAAAUGAAUGAAUUUUAAAAAUG